RNA transcript from Drosophila sechellia, 1043 nucleotides. RefSeq lists it as uncharacterized. The transcript has 2 exons. The record is from RefSeq and is a predicted model, not a curated record. NCBI's taxonomy places the organism in Eukaryota, Metazoa, Arthropoda, Insecta, Diptera, Drosophilidae.
AUCGUUAAUUACGUACCUAUAGUCAUAGUUAUUAUCAUUGUCAUCCAACAACUACCCUGCACCUGCAUGAUUAAAUUUAUUAUAAAAAGCACACGAACCGAAUCCAUCAACUUGGAAAAUAGUUCAGGCCACAGAGGCGAGGCGUGAAGAAGACUAAUCCAUCAGCUGGACUUAUUUGCAUUAAAUUAAAACGAAGAGCGAAAGUGUGGGAUUGGGAUCUCGAAAUGAAACCUUAUGUUCGGCACCAGUUUUCAGCCAUACGGAGUAAUUUGUGAGUGACGAAAUUGGGGCAAGGGAUGGGCCGGCACACGGGUUACUAAUAGAACAUAUGGAUGCCGUGUCGAAUGAUGAUGACGCUGUUGAAACGAGGAUAUGAAUGCCGUAGAAGUGCAUUUUGUGGCAUGUGUCGUUUAAUUAUGCUAAAAGCUAGCAACAACAAAGGCCCACACCAACAAAGGCAACAAAAACAAGUCAAACAAAUGCCAUUGAUAUGGCCGUUGAUCCUGAAGAGGGUGCGAAUACCAACCCCUGAGCAUAGAAAUAGAGUAGGAAGCCCCAGUUGCUGUCCCGUUUUCGUCCUUUUUCCUUUUUCGCGCCACAAUAAAAAGGACUAAAUGAAAUUAUUCUGUGCCCAGCACUUCUGAAAUCCAACCAAAUAAAAACUUAAGCAAAAAUCUGACUGCAGCGGAACAAACAACUGUCCUAAUGAUGGGUUUGGCCUUGGGGUCUCGCCCACUCAAGCGUUUAUCAGCCCAUUUUGGUCAGAAACUAAAGCCGUACAUCGUUUAUCAAACGCCACGAGAAGCACCAAUAUUACAGACCGUGAUGACAGUACGAGUAUGGAGGAAGGAAGGAAGACCCACCGCGCAGAAGACUGGCCUCAUGUGCGAUCUCUAUCAGCACGUCAUACUCAAGUCUUCAUUAGCCACGGAGAUGUCUUGAAUCAACUGACACGGAGAGGCUUUUCGAAUGGUGGGGCUAUUAAAAGGCGAAGAACAUUGUAAUGAUCAGCGUAAAUGUAUGUAAAAUCCCAAAUAAGAAGA